Molecule: ribosomal RNA, 623 nt
Filed under: Oxalobacteraceae bacterium Se3Ps_2583
Lineage: Bacteria; Pseudomonadati; Pseudomonadota; Betaproteobacteria; Burkholderiales; Oxalobacteraceae
Description: bacterial SSU rRNA
Rfam family: Bacterial small subunit ribosomal RNA
Source: RNAcentral
GCAAUGCCGCGUGAGUGAAGAAGGCCUUCGGGUUGUAAAGCUCUUUUGUCAGGGAAGAAAAGGGACUGGCUAAUAUCUGGUCCUCAUGACGGUACCUGAAGAAUAAGCACCGGCUAACUACGUGCCAGCAGCCGCGGUAAUACGUAGGGUGCAAGCGUUAAUCGGAAUUACUGGGCGUAAAGCGUGCGCAGGCGGUUUUGUAAGACUGUCGUGAAAUCCCCGGGCUCAACCUGGGAAUGGCGAUGGUGACUGCAAGGCUAGAGUUUGGCAGAGGGGGGUAGAAUUCCACGUGUAGCAGUGAAAUGCGUAGAUAUGUGGAGGAACACCGAUGGCGAAGGCAGCCCCCUGGGUCAAAACUGACGCUCAUGCACGAAAGCGUGGGGAGCAAACAGGAUUAGAUACCCUGGUAGUCCACGCCCUAAACGAUGUCUACUAGUUGUCGGGUCUUAAUUGACUUGGUAACGCAGCUAACGCGUGAAGUAGACCGCCUGGGGAGUACGGUCGCAAGAUUAAAACUCAAAGGAAUUGACGGGGACCCGCACAAGCGGUGGAUGAUGUGGAUUAAUUCGAUGCAACGCGAAAAACCUUACCUACCCUUGACAUGGCUGGAAUCCCGGAGAGAU